RNAcentral lists this ribosomal RNA (253 nucleotides) under uncultured bacterium. RNAcentral describes it as "partial 16S ribosomal RNA". It matches the Rfam family "Bacterial small subunit ribosomal RNA", at positions 524 to 776 of the family's 1533-position model. The record is from RNAcentral.
UACGUAGGCAGCGAGCGUUGUUCGGAGUUACUUGGCGUAAAGCGUGCGUAGGCGGUGUCUUAAGUUUGUUGUGAAAUCUCCCGGCUUAACCGGGAGGGUGCGGCGAAUACUGAGAUGCUGGAGUGCCGGAGAGGUAAGCGGAAUUCCUGGUGUAGCGGUGAAAUGCGUAGAUAUCAGGAGGAACACCUGCGGUGUAGACGGCUUACUGGACGGUAACUGACGCUGAGGCACGAAAGCGUGGGUAGCAAACAGG